Molecule: ribosomal RNA, 232 nt
Filed under: uncultured bacterium
Lineage: Bacteria
Description: partial 16S ribosomal RNA
Rfam family: Bacterial small subunit ribosomal RNA
Source: RNAcentral
UGAGCAAUCUGCCCUUCUCAUCGGAAUAAGCGUUGGAAACGACGUCUAAUGCCGAAUACGACCUCCUUUCGCAUGAUCGGAGGUGGAAAGCUCCGGCGGAGAAGGAUGAGCUCGCGGCCUAUCAGCUAGUUGGUGUGGGUAAUGGCCCACCAAGGCGACGACGGGUAGCCGGCCUGAGAGGGUGACCGGCCACACUGGGACUGAGACACGGCCCAGACCUCCUACGGGAGCA